RNAcentral lists this ribosomal RNA (253 nucleotides) under uncultured bacterium. Its description in RNAcentral is "partial 16S ribosomal RNA". It matches the Rfam family "Bacterial small subunit ribosomal RNA", at positions 524 to 776 of the family's 1533-position model. The record is from RNAcentral.
UACAGAGGUCCCAAGCGUUGUUCGGAUUCAUUGGGCGUAAAGGGUGCGUAGGCGGCGCCGUAAGUGGGGUGUGAAAUUUCGGAGCUUAACUCCGAAACUGCAUUCCAUACUGCGGUGCUUGAGGACUGGAGAGGAGACUGGAAUUUACGGUGUAGCAGUGAAAUGCGUAGAGAUCGUAAGGAAGACCAGUGGCGAAGGCGAGUCUCUGGACAGUUACUGACGCUGAGGCACGAAGGCCAGGGGAGCAAACGGG